Molecule: long non-coding RNA, 255 nt
Filed under: Lathyrus oleraceus (garden pea)
Lineage: Eukaryota; Viridiplantae; Streptophyta; Magnoliopsida; Fabales; Fabaceae
Description: Pisum sativum (pea) long non-coding RNA (PSAT_LNC021601)
Source: RNAcentral
UAAUAACCAAUCCUAGGAGUGAGAAUAAAAUUAGAGUGGAGGAAGUAGUAGAUGAGGGAGUAGUUAAAAAGGAGAAAAAUAAAAAAAUAGAUGGAGAAAACAGUGACGAAAAAGAGGAAGACACUAGGAGAUAAUGCACACUUGGUGAACUAAUUGAUAAAAAUUACCUUUAAGAAGAACCAAAGAGAAAAUACUCAACGAACCAAAUCCCGAACUCCUUAAUUAUAUGAAACCACCUUAUCCUAUAUUGAAGAA